GGGGCUGUAGCUCAGUGACAGAGCACUUGCCUAGCAUGCAUGGAGCACUGGGUUCAAUCCUCAGCACCA
Molecule: transfer RNA, 69 nt
Filed under: Ictidomys tridecemlineatus (thirteen-lined ground squirrel)
Lineage: Eukaryota; Metazoa; Chordata; Mammalia; Rodentia; Sciuridae
Description: Spermophilus tridecemlineatus (thirteen-lined ground squirrel) tRNA
Rfam family: tRNA
About the family: Transfer RNA (tRNA) molecules are approximately 80 nucleotides in length.
Source: Rfam by way of RNAcentral